CCGAUGGCAGAUUAGGUAGUUGGUGGGAUAAAAGCUUACCAAGCCGACGAUCUGUAGCUGGUCUGAGAGGACGACCAGCCACACUGGGACUGAGACACGGCCCAGACUCCUACGGGAGGCAGCAGUGGGGAAUUUUGGACAAUGGGCGAAAGCCUGAUCCAGCAAUGCCGCGUGCAGGAUGAAGGGCUUCGGGUUGUAAACUGCUUUUGUACGGAACGAAAAGCCUCGGGAUAAUACCCCGGGGUCAUGACGGUACCGUAAGAAUAA
This 267-nucleotide ribosomal RNA is filed under the name Comamonadaceae bacterium MS162d. Its description in RNAcentral is "partial 16S ribosomal RNA". It matches the Rfam family "Bacterial small subunit ribosomal RNA", at positions 230 to 489 of the family's 1533-position model. The record is from RNAcentral. Lineage: Bacteria; Pseudomonadati; Pseudomonadota; Betaproteobacteria; Burkholderiales; Comamonadaceae.